GUAGAUGUAGCUCAGUUGGUUAGAACAUCUGACUGUUAAUCAGGAAGUCGCAGGUUCGAAUCCUGUCAUCUACG
This 74-nucleotide transfer RNA is filed under the name Pediococcus pentosaceus. Its description in RNAcentral is "tRNA-Asn". It matches the Rfam family "tRNA". Rfam says of the family: Transfer RNA (tRNA) molecules are approximately 80 nucleotides in length. Their secondary structure includes four short double-helical elements and three loops (D, anti-codon, and T loops). The record is from RNAcentral. Lineage: Bacteria; Bacillati; Bacillota; Bacilli; Lactobacillales; Lactobacillaceae.